Non-coding RNA from Tachysurus fulvidraco (yellow catfish), 468 nucleotides. Lineage: Eukaryota; Metazoa; Chordata; Actinopteri; Siluriformes; Bagridae. The record is from the annotation of a RefSeq genome assembly.
ACCCACAGCAACCAUGACUUUGAUCAGCGUCUUCAUCUGCACACUGGCCCUCUGGACUCAAGGAUCCAGAGGUCAGGUGACUGUGACUCAGACUCCUUCAGUGCAAACUGUUGCUCCAGGAAACACAGUCACCAUCAACUGUAAAACCAGUAGCGGAGUGUAUGAUGAUAAGACUCUCGCCUGGUACCUGCAGAAACCUGGAGAAGCUCCUAAACUCCUGAUCUACUAUGCUACUAGCAGACAGUCAGGGAUUCCAGCUCGUUUCAUUGGCAGUGGAUCUGAUACUGACUUCACUCUGACCAUCAGGGGAGUUCAGACUGAAGAUACAGGAGAUUACUACUGUCAGAGUGUACAUAAUGUGGGUAGCUUUUUCAGUCCUAACUCUGUGUUCACACAGUGUUAGAGCGUCGUACAAAAACCUCGGUCAGUGAGACUGCACAGAGAAACACUGCUGCAGCUGGGAGUGAC